This 72-nucleotide non-coding RNA is filed under the name Bacillus methanolicus MGA3. The record is from RNAcentral. Lineage: Bacteria; Bacillati; Bacillota; Bacilli; Caryophanales; Bacillaceae.
AGAAUAAAAAUAAGACUAAACAUAAGCAAAUAUGUUCGUUUUCUAGCCGUUUCAACAUCCAGCUCGUGAAAA